RNAcentral lists this RNase P RNA (561 nucleotides) under Phycisphaerales bacterium. RNAcentral describes it as "RNase P RNA component class A". It matches the Rfam family "Bacterial RNase P class A". Rfam says of the family: Ribonuclease P (RNase P) is a ubiquitous endoribonuclease, found in archaea, bacteria and eukarya as well as chloroplasts and mitochondria. Its best characterised activity is the generation of mature 5'-ends of tRNAs by cleaving the 5'-leader elements of precursor-tRNAs. Cellular RNase Ps are ribonucleoproteins. The record is from RNAcentral. Lineage: Bacteria; Pseudomonadati; Planctomycetota; Phycisphaerae; Phycisphaerales.
GGAGCGGGUCGGGCGGUCGCCCCGCACCAAAAACAUAUUGUUCACGGCAAGCCGAUUCGUCCAUGGCGGGUUCGCCGUGCUGGACGACCGGGCAGAAUGGGACAAUAUGUUUUUGGUGCGGGGAGGAAAGUCCGAGCAGGGCAGGGCACGGUGGUGGUUAACGGCCACCCGGAGCGAUCCGAGGGAAAGUGCCACAGAAACCACACGGCCGAUGGCCCCACGGGGCACAGGCAAAGGUGAAAUGGUGCGGUAAGAGCGCACCGCGGCGGCGGCGACGUCGCCGGCAGGGUAAACCCCACCGCCUGCAAGACCAAGCAAGCUGGUCAGCCGGCCCGGUCAUAAUCCAGCGGGUAGGUCGCUCGUCCGUGGGGAAAACCCGCGGGCGGAGCCGGUCGGCAACGGCCGGUCCAGAGAAAUGACCGCCCCCCCGCACCAAAAACAUAUUGGACACGUCAAACCGAUUCGCCCAUGACGGGUUCGCCGCGAUGGACGAACGGUCAGAACGGGACAAUAUGUUUUUGGCGCGGGGGACAGAACUCGGCUUAUAGACCCGCUCCGCUU